UCCCAUUAAAAGGAAAAAAAAAAACAAUAAAUAAAUAAAUAAAAGGAAAGCUUAGAAAUCAAAGCCAGCGUCGUCGAAGCCAGCAUCAUAUCCGGCGUCAUAGGCAGCCAUCUCCCCAACAUCAGAAAUCAUGUCUCCGACAAGCAACCCACCCAGCAACCCAGCUCCCAAUCCCAAUGCCAUAUUCCCUGCACCGCUCUUCUUCGGCUUCUGCGGCUGCUGCAUCACCGCUGGAUACCCACCGUACCCAUGUGCUGGCGGGUAACCGUACCCGUACCCGGGAGCAUUAGGGUACCCUCCAUAUGCAUGUUGUGGAGGUGGUGGAUAUCCGCCUGGCGGCGGAUAACCCCCUGGUGGCGGAUAAGGAUACGGAACCUGUCCCUUGCCCGCUUCCGUAUGAUAGGGUGGUGGUGGAGGAUAUCCACCUGGAGGUGGAUAGGCAGAACUUGCACUAGCCCCUGCGCCUGGAUACCCCGCCGCUGGAUAUGCCAUUACGGGUUCGUCGACCUUUUUCGCCUUCUCCUGUGUGUGCAAUGGAGCCUCGAAUUUUUCUCCGAAUUUGAAGGAAAAAUUCAAAGUCCCUUUGGUUUUGCCACUAGAUGUCCUGACACCAUAGCUGACGUUACUUUCAUGCUCUGUUUUCUCAUCUCCGGAUUUAUGAGACAGCAGCUCCUUGAUGGGCACAUGUAUUUCACCGAUGUCUUUAUCUCCGAAGCUGCGAUCGGACUUGAGCUUGAUUUCGAGAAUAAGGCGGUUGUCCUUGGCAGAAGCUUCAUGGAUGGUGAAUUUCAUAGGAAAAUUCCAUUUGGGAUUGGUUCCACAAUCUUUAUCGACAGGAGUUUUCUGUUUCUGCUUGGAAUUAUAAGGAUCGCCCUUGAUGGAAACCUCGGCGUAAACAUCCAUCUUGGAGAACAUAUUAACAUCUUUAAUGUCCUUGGCUGAGAUCAGAGUGAUCUCUAAUGGUCUGCACUCCAUGAUAGAUCGGAAAUUCAACCAAGAAGAUCAAAGAAUUGGGCAGAAAAGAAAAGAGGAAAAACUGAGUUAUUGAACAGAUAAGAGAGACUCUUGUAUUGGGAAAUCUGGGGGAGAGGGAGAGAAAAAGGGCUAUAUAGAGGAGGAGGUUGGAGAGGAGGAGGAAAGUGGAAGGAAGAUUCGUUGGCUAUG
RNAcentral lists this unclassified non-coding RNA (1164 nucleotides) under Hevea brasiliensis (rubber tree). The record is from RNAcentral. Lineage: Eukaryota; Viridiplantae; Streptophyta; Magnoliopsida; Malpighiales; Euphorbiaceae.